AACAUGCUCGCAAUUUCUCAUCAGAGAGGAGGAGGAUAAGAGAGCAGUUCGCCAACACUCCUACGCCUGAGUGUUUGCCUAUUGUGGCUUGACUCCAGUCCGGCUACGGCUCUGUUGAUUCCUCGUUGUGCUGAUUUCCUCGUCUCAAGUUCCAAGUGAAGUUCCUGGAGUCCGUUUCCAGCUGGCGACUGCUAAAACCUCCUCAUUUCUGGCUCAAGACCCAAGCGAACCCUGUCCACCCUUACCUCCGAGCCCGGCAGCUAUACUCGUCAUUCAGUAAGAAAACAAACCCCAGAAAAACCUCACCAAUGUGUGUGUUGUGUGAAGGAUCUAGUGGAAUACAACUUCAAGCAGGCACAGAAUUCAUCCAUCCGACCCCGCUUUGUCUCCCUCUCAUACAAAGCUCCAUCCAUCCAACCAGUAAGUCUGAAGGAGCUCAUAAAGUAAAUCUGAUAACUAUUUCCCAUCACUUACCAAUCCUUCUCUCCACACCGUGGAUGCAAUCCAGUUUCAGUUAUCAUAUCAAUUCAUCAGUAUUAAACUCUUUAACUUUUUAUCUGUCUCCUGAGUGUUCUCUGCAUGUGGGUCAAGUCAAUAAACAAAAAGAUGACACUUUUUAGAUUUUGCUUGAUAUGCCAUUAACAUUUCACUAAGCAUUGGUUCUCGCUCAUCCAGAGGUCUGAGUGAGAUAAUGACUGUUUGGAAAUUUUUUUUCACCUUUAUCCAUUAAUGAGAAAUGUUGUUAUACCUUUGGACAUCCAUUUAAUCUUGCAUUUGUUUGGUUUGACUCAAAAACAGGGUCAUAGGCGCACCACCUCAUAACCCUCAAGCUUUCAUGUAGUUUGUGUUCUUGUUUGGCUUCUGUCCAGAUUUUUAAUUGUGAUUUUUUUAUCCAGGGAUUUUCAACCUUGUGCUGGAUCCGUUUUAAAUCUUUAUUCCCAAGAACUGCUUGUAAAGGGGGUCUAGUGUAAUUCAAUGUCUUUCCACCAAGCAUGGUAGUUUGUAUUAAAAAGAAUUAUCAGGGGUUCGAUUUGUACAGAAUGAAAGGUGCAGGUCUGCUAUAGCCCCUUUUUCUUUGGAUAGUUCUGUUUUAAUCUAAUUCUGUUCCUAACCAUCUAAAUCUAGAAAUCAUUCUAUCCCACUCUGUAAAUAGUUUUCUUUUUUUUUUUUUUUGUAAUUAUGCCCGGGAGACCUUGGAACAAAAAGAGAAAUCUUGGUAACAGGUUCAUUUUAACAGCUCGUAUUCUAAACAUUACCAGUCAUACAUACUUUAAUAUUGGCUUACAAGAGCCUCAGAAACGAAUUUCCUGUACUUACACUGUUUGCAGUGUUUGAAAGCCACUCACCAUGCCCUGGAAAUGGCUGAUCACCCUCAUAAAAUGCUUCAGUUGUAGAUUUCAUUUAUUUAAAGGGCAAAAAGUAAGUGUUCAGUCACUGUUCGAGUUGAUGUUUCUGCCUAAUGACUUAUGACCGUUGACCAAACAAAAGUUCCAACUCUGUUGCAGACUACACUGGGUGUUGUAACAAGGGUCAAACAGACUUCUCUGCCUCCUAUGACUGGAUGCUGUCUCACUGUACACAGACCUUUGCACACUAUUCCAGAAAGUGCUUUGCUUUUGUUCUGCAAAAAGAAAUGCCUCUACAUUUUUAUCAAUGUCCUUCACUUCUGACCUACAAUGUUGUUGAAUGUUUUAAUAUGUUGUUACAGUAACAGUCAUGCUUUACUAAAAUACACUGUAUGCAAGGGCACUUUUUUAUCAUGCAGGGCGUUAUUAUUUCACAGAUGUUUUGUUGCAGGAGAGAAAAAUCUUAUCAGUUUCCCGUAAUGUGGUCAGGACUUGUUUGCGUAACAAACUCCAACAUCACUGAUUAAAGGGCAAUAUUGCAGAACUUGGCUAACUGUAAGCUCAAUACUUUCACUUAAAAUACAAAAAAAUAGGUUAUAUUAAUUACCAGAAAGAGUGCAGAUUGGUAAAAGCAGGAUCUACCAAGACAAUACAAAAGGAAAUUAAAAAUACAUUUGAACAUAAAUAAAAUAGAAUCUGGGCAGUGUGUACCUGCUUGAAAACCUUCACUAUGAUCUUGUUAUAGCCAACAAGGAGCACAUAUUUGAACAUAAUCCUGAACAUCUAAAAUACUUGUAGCAUACCAUUAAAUAGUUUUUUUUCUUGUUUGCUUUAAAAAUAUGGCACUAUGUGUGGGCAGCUGUCCAAAAGCAUUGAACCCAGGAGUAUUGAUAACCUGAUAUUCAAUAGGCUUUCUUAAUUAAAAUGCCUUAUACAUCCAAAACAUCUGAGUUGCGAUAGAGCUUUGGAACCGACGUCACUGCGCAGUGACGUUGUGGGGCACUUACGUCUCGCGCAGUCAAUCUGCGCCAUCUUUAAAGGCCACAGACGAAAACAAACUAUUCCCCGGUGUUAGAGCUGUAUCCUGCAUAAUGCUGAAAAGCAGCUCAAAACAAAGUGGACUAUAUCGUGACAAACUUCUCCCAGAUGCCAAAAGACGGUACAUAGAAAAAAUAGCUAAAAUUGGAAAUGUCGACCCCUUUGAAUUAAGAAAUUGGAGCAGAGACCCUCAACAUUUGCCUCCACUGACAUUCCCAGACAUAUUUGCAUACCUGGUCUGUGGUGUCAGUGCUUACACCGCAAGUAAUUUUAAGAAUUACAAGUCAAUGGAAGCGCAUGUCCAAUUUACGAAUGGCUGGGUACACAAUUUGGACAUUUUUAACCCCUCGGAUUGUGAAUACGUUGUGGUUCGAACAAAGGUUAUGCACUCUCAGAGACUCUCUGAGCCGCCAUUAACAGUGGGUCAUGCUGAGCGACACUGGCACAGUUGAGUGUGCACAUUGCACCUGCAUGGCAGGGGUAGCCGAGACCUGCACUCAUAUCGGUGCCCUACGUUUUAAGCUGGAAGCAACAGUGAGGAUACAAGGCAGAAAAACUGUUACGGAUGAGCCAGCAUUCUGGGUAUUACCUGGCAACCUGACUAAGAUUCAUCCAGAAGUCGGCCAUAAAAUUGACUAUAGUACUUCAGCUUCUCAAAAGAAGAUACUUGACCAAAAAAUCCACACAAAAGUCCCAACAACAGCCAGAAGAAGCUGUCCACAAAAAAGAAAAACCCCACCAGCAAAUCUGGAAGAUUUGGCUCCUCUGCUUGACACGCUACUAGAGCACAGCAAGGCUGUUGGUUUAUCAGGAAUGGAGAAAUAUUACACACAAUUCACCCACACUGAGCAGAUCUUACCUCAGUCACUUGCAUCUCUGCACAACAAAAACAUAGAGUCCAAUGACAUGUCAGCUAUUUUGCUGUGCUGUGAAAAAUACAAAGAUGCUGCAGUAGUGACAGAUGAGCAGGCAGAAACCAUUGAAAAGCACACAAGACUGCAGCACAAGUGUUCUGCCUGGUAUGAAUAUAGAGCUGGAAGAAUUACAGCUUCCAGAAUGCAUGCUGUAUUUGCCACUAGUUUGGAAAGCCCAGCACUGACAGUUGUUAAACAGGUGUGUUACCCAGGCAACACAGUGUCUACAGUGCAAACAAGGUGGGGUGUGAAGCAUGACAGUGAUGCACAAAAAAUUACAGCAAGCAGUCACAAAAAUCUACAAGUUAAACCAUGCGGUUUCAUCAUAAACACCAACUUCCCUGAAGUCGGAGCAUCUCCUGAUGGACUCACAAUGUGUGAUUGAUGUGGGAAUGGAUGCCUUGAGAUAAAGUGCCCUUUCAAAUAUAGGACAACAUCCAUACUACACACAGGCACAAACUGAGAUCUUUGUUACAAAAUCAAGCCAUUGUGAUCUUGUUGUGUGGACCCAGAAAGACAUGGCUGUGGUCCAUGUCUUUCCAGAUCAGAAAUUCUGGGAACCACGCCUCCAAAAAGCACAAAGUUUCUUUAAAAAUAUUUGUCUCCCUGAGCUUGUCGGUAGAUAUUUCUCAGAGCAUGCCUGUAACCCAGCUUCGAGGGAGACAUAACUGGGUAAAAAGUAAUCGAACAGCAUGUAAAUUGUGCUGUUCGACUUAUAUUUCCACUUCUUAUUUUUGUGAAGCAAUUUCCCCUGUAUAAGGUAUUACCUCAGAUGAUGUUCAUCACGUUUACAUAAAAUGUUUUUUUUGAAGUAUUUAAUUACAUAAAAUUAUUUCUUAGAAAUAGGAUAUAUUUCAUUACAUAUUUACUUGUUACCUGAAAUGUUAUGCAUCAAAUGUUUACUUAAUGUGAUCUGAUCACAUUGGUUACCUUUUAAAGUUUACUUUGAAAUGUUUAAUUACCUCAGUUUUUUACUCAAAGAUUGGAUCUAUUUAGUUACAUGCUUACUUGUUACCUGAAAUAUGUUAUAUAAAUCAAUAUAUACUUUAAAUGGGAUCUAUUACAUCAAUAUGUGUUGCCUUUAAAUGUUUACUUUCAAAUGUCUAAUUACAUCAAAUAUUUACUUAAAAUCUGAUCUUUUUCAUCACAUUACCUGAAGUGAUUCAAUGAAAUGUUUUAUGAAUGUUUACCACAUGAAUAUUUAUUAAAUGAGAAAAAACAGUCA
Molecule: long non-coding RNA, 4523 nt
Organism: Girardinichthys multiradiatus
Lineage: Eukaryota; Metazoa; Chordata; Actinopteri; Cyprinodontiformes; Goodeidae
Exons: 3
Source: RefSeq, a predicted model, not a curated record